Long non-coding RNA from Cydia strobilella, 277 nucleotides. RefSeq lists it as uncharacterized. NCBI's taxonomy places the organism in Eukaryota, Metazoa, Arthropoda, Insecta, Lepidoptera, Tortricidae. The record is from RefSeq and is a predicted model, not a curated record. The transcript has 2 exons.
UUUCCCCAUACUUAGAACUGAAACUCAAAAAAAUUUUUUUUCAUCAAACCCAUAGGUACGUGUUUUUAAUAUCAUUUUUUUCUAAACUGAAUAGUUUGCGCGAGAGACACUUCCAAAGUGGUAAAAUGUGUGUCCCCCCCCCCUGUAACUUCUAAAAUAAGAGAAUGAUAAAACUAAAAAAAAUAUAUGAUGUACAUUACAAUGCAAACUUCCACCGAAAAUUAGUUUGAACGAGAUCUAGUAAGUAGUUUUUUUUUAAUACGACAUAAAUCGUAAA